AUGUCACGGACCAGUGCUGCCUCCUCCAGCUCUACGGCACCCCUUACCACUGAUUUGGAAGCUUCUGAACGCACAGAAAAAAGUGUGACUGCACAAACAGCCUCCCACUCCUCUCUCUCUUCUUCCCCCGAGAAUCAGACGCAGGAGGGCGAACUCGCCAUAAUUGCACGUGGCGGCGCUGCUGGUGGGACACCUGGAGAUAAACAGUCUUUUUCCUGGAGAAGCCAGCGAAGCACAGACCGGCUCAAUUACCAUCUGACUUCCACCGCCACCUCCGACCUCCUAAAAUCCUCCGCCGCACCUCCACACUCAAGCAGUGCAAACGCUGACACCGAACCCACUUCAUCAUUAUCCUCACCCACCGCCCACAUCCCACAGCGCAGCCCUGCUGUUGGUGCUGCGGAGGCUGCUGCAGGUCAUCCACGCGCAAACCGCAGUGACUCACUUGCAUCCUCUGCGUCUGCUGUUGCUCAUCCAACUACAGAUGAAUUUAAAGGCAAAUACAUGCAGCAAACCCUUACCCCUUUUGGUGCCACGAGCUCUCCUGAAAGCACUGAUGGUCUGGUUUUUAGGUCGGCACAAAGAGAGGAGAAAGACACACAGACAGAAAGUCCUGAAAAAAUGUCAGUUUUUCCACAUGUGACCACAGAAAUAACCUCCACUCUGCCUGGUGGUAUGAAGGAUGGACAGACUUCUGCUUUUACUGGCUCUUUAUCUGUAACCAGAGCAGCACAAGCGACAAAAGUCCAGAACUUGACUUCAGCAGAGACCACAGGAGAGCAGCACAAACAGCCUUCUACUUACACUGUGUUGCAUGACAGUUCGCCCACAGGUUGGUUGCUGUCCAGCUUGACCACAGACUCCUCCACACCUCCCUACACACUCCAACCACACUCUGAGCUUUCUGUCGACAAUCAGAUAGCUGUCAUCUCCUCUGUGAGUGAAUCCUACAUCCACACAAUCCACCAGAGACCUUCACCAUCAGGUUCUCACAGCCGCCAGCUUCUCCCUACUCCCACUAGCAUCUCUCCUACGUUUGAACUAACCCAGCGUGUCGCUGCUUCUGCUCACACCACUGCUGCCUCACCUGCAGGAUCAGACAAAGAGGAAGAGGGUGAGUUUAGGUCAUGGUCUCCCACAGCUCAUCCGCUGAGCCGUUUCACGCACACAGCCUCUGCUGGGACCUCCACACCCACACAGAACUCCACCAGCAGUCCAAUGUUCUUCAUUGUGCCCAACCAGCCAGCAGCCAUCAGAGGUAAAAUGCAUACUAACUUGUAG
Molecule: long non-coding RNA, 1281 nt
Filed under: Oryzias sinensis (Chinese medaka)
Lineage: Eukaryota; Metazoa; Chordata; Actinopteri; Beloniformes; Adrianichthyidae
Description: lncRNA (ENSOSIG00000015973.1)
Source: RNAcentral